RNAcentral lists this non-coding RNA (819 nucleotides) under Caenorhabditis japonica. Its description in RNAcentral is "Eukaryotic large subunit ribosomal RNA". It matches the Rfam family "Eukaryotic large subunit ribosomal RNA", at positions 1 to 777 of the family's 3401-position model. The record is from Rfam by way of RNAcentral. Lineage: Eukaryota; Metazoa; Nematoda; Chromadorea; Rhabditida; Rhabditidae.
CAACCUGAACUCAGUCGUGAUUACCCGCUGAACUUAAGCAUAUCAUUUAGCGGAGGAAAAGAAACUAAAAAGGAUUCCCCUAGUAACGGCGAGUGAAACGGGAAGAGCCCAGCGCCGAAUCGAUCAGUCUUUGGCUGCUUCGAAAUGUGGCGUAUAGGUGUAGUCUUCCAGCAGUGUCGUAUGUCCGAAGUCCUUGCGAUUGAGGCCAUAAACCAGAGAGGGUGCGAGCCCCGUUCUGGAUAGCGGCGCUGUUGGUUCGACUGCUCCUUGGAUCGGGUUGCUUGAAAGUGCAGCCUAAAGUGGGUGAUAAACUUCAUCUAAGGCUAAAUAUUGACUCGAUUGCGAUAGCGAACAAGUACCGUGAGGGAAAGUUGCAAAGGACUUUGAAGAGAGAGUUCAAGAGAACGUGAAAUCGCUGGAGUGGAACCGGAGACAGUUGAUGUUGCUUGGAGACAAUCUUGGUGGCUGAUCGCUUAGCUGUGAUCGCCGCCGGGAGUCGUUUCCUAUGCUACGCCGACGGCGUUGGCCGCUCGUUCUGGCCCGACAGUGUUGCCCAUCUCGCAAGAGACGGUGUCUUGUUGUCGGUCGUUGGUUCGUGGUGGCUAGCGUUUAGUUACGCUAGUGUGUGUGACGUCGGUGUGAAAGUCGACGACGUUUCCGACCCCGUCUUGAAACACGGAUUACGGAGUGUUUGUCUGCUGCGAGUCAAAGGGUGUAAAAAACCUUGCGGCGCAAUGAAAGUGAAGGUUAGUCUCGAACUGACUCGACGUGGGAUCCGUGCUCUUUCGGAGUGCGGCCACCACGGCCCUAUGCGUGUCA